This 74-nucleotide transfer RNA is filed under the name Micavibrio sp. RNAcentral's name for it is "tRNA-Cys". It matches the Rfam family "tRNA". From Rfam's summary of the family: Transfer RNA (tRNA) molecules are approximately 80 nucleotides in length. Their secondary structure includes four short double-helical elements and three loops (D, anti-codon, and T loops). Lineage: Bacteria; Pseudomonadati; Bdellovibrionota; Bdellovibrionia; Bdellovibrionales; Pseudobdellovibrionaceae. The record is from RNAcentral.
GGCGCGGUGGCAGAGUGGCUAUGCAGAGGAUUGCAAAUCCUUGUAGACCGGUUCGAUUCCGGUCCGUGCCUCCA